CUGAAAGCAUCUAAGCGGGAAGCGAGCCCUGAGAUGAGUCAUCCCUGACCCCUUGAGGGUCCUAAAGGGCCGUUGGAGACCACAACGUUGAUAGGUGGGGUGUGUAAGCGCAGUGAUGUGUUGAGCUAACCCAUACUAAUUACCCGUGAGGCUUAACCAU
RNAcentral lists this ribosomal RNA (160 nucleotides) under Aeromonas veronii. RNAcentral's name for it is "23S rRNA. Bacterial LSU". It matches the Rfam family "Bacterial large subunit ribosomal RNA", at positions 2771 to 2925 of the family's 2925-position model. Lineage: Bacteria; Pseudomonadati; Pseudomonadota; Gammaproteobacteria; Aeromonadales; Aeromonadaceae. The record is from RNAcentral.